CAUACUUUUAGAAAGACUCAUCGAAAAACCGCGGUCAGGUUCAGGUUAUGCUGAACACCACACAUGUCGAAGGCUCUUCAGCAAGUUUCAUCAACUGCAAAGGAUUCAGUAACGUCAGAGAACUACAGCGAUGCUUUUCAAAGUGCAGUACCGUGGAAAGAAGAAAUAUAUCAAGCUAAAUGGAGUCUCACAUCCAGCCUUUCUUCAGGAGGCUAAAGAGAAGUUCGGCAUACGCACUGAGACAGACAUAUGUGGUGGAUGACACUGGAACAGAAGUUGACGAAGAGGUCUUCAGCGAUAUCUUGGAGGAAAAAUCAGACAUCCUGUGGACUAUUUUUGAUGUUCACUCUGUAAUGGAUACUUCCGUCCUGUCCUCGUGCACAGACACCUUGUCACUAUCAUCACGCUCAUCAGACAGUGAUGCUUCUCUGAUGUCGCCAAAAAGACAACGCAUUGAUGACACCUUUCUUAUGUCCCCAAAAAGUCAGCAUAUUGAUGAUAGUUCAUCACAAGCCAGAGAGUUUGUCAAAAGAGUUCUGGAACAAAAGCCUGGAGGUGAGAAGAUACUUAAAGAAUAUGCAGUGAGAGGAGAGAUGAAAGACCGAACACGUCGUGACCUCAUCAACAUUGUUGUUGCUCAUCUGGUGGAAAAGUAUGGGCGUGCUCCACCUAUGGACAAAAGAACACAGUGCGCACUGGGGAUAGUAACAUUGUUCCCCUCUCUAAAAGAUCCCUACUCCAAAAAAGGCUAUGAACACUUUUUUGAUGCAAACAGCAAUGAGGGCUACAUUGCCUGGAAGCUUAAAAACACACAACGAGAACUCAGAAGUGGCAGUAACUGUGAAGGUAGGAGAAGGAGCUCUCACACCUCAAACAGAAGUGGGCCGGAGUUGGAGAGAGAGGUGAAUAAAGAGCAGCAGUUGGAGGGAGACCAGUGUUGUGAGGCCAUAUCGCUACUGAAGCACAGCACAGAUGAAGAACAUAUCUUCAUGAAAAUGAGAGAAACCUUCCAUCACAGACAAAAAUUGAUCCACGAUCCUGAGCAAAGCAGCACAGUGCUUACAGUGUUCCCAAGGUUCCUUGACACAAAAGGCUUGGUGUUGCAAGACUUUGACCUGUUAUUUGGAGCUGAGACUGCAUCAAAACUCCUCGAGAAAUGGGGAACACUCAAGUCCAAAGUCAUACAGCAAGCCAAAAACCUCAGCAAGACACCCCUGCUUGACUACUUCAUCCAGUCUGCUGAGGAGAACCCUGAUGAGGAUGGCGAGGUCCCAGGUUGGGAUAGUGACAUGGCUUCACUGCUACUGCUGGUCUUCCUCUUGCCACCACCACCAAGUGGAAAGAAGGGAGCUGUGAAGAUCAGUAUCCGGGAAGCUGUGGACCAUGUAGUCAGGUUUCAAAAGAAAAAAAUGGAUUGCAUUAUGAAAUGCUGAACAAGUCUGGCAUGGGAAAAAGGCCAUCAAAGUCAUGUCGCAGCCUUCAGGAGCACUCUGGUACAGAGCAGCGGAGGCAGCCCUACAUCCUAGCAGUUGGGACGACAAGAAGAAGCAUCCAUGAGUACUACAUCACAUUGGAUGGUGAGCUCCUUCCCUGCAAGGCCAAGUCUUCCCUGUCAGCCUUUGAUGAACUUUUCAAAACACAUUAUGUGUUUGGCAUCUCUUAUAGUCAGGCUUUAAGCAGCAUGUACACAUUUGUGCAGACCAGCAUAUACAACAUUGAUGUAGGUCUUUCUCACGAACCUCCUAGAGUCAAGGACCUUAGAGCUAAGCUCCUCAACUGAAGAAUUCUGAUGUAUAAAUGCUUUGUUUGCAAAUCCAUUUUUGUCACCAUUCAAAAGUUGCCCAUUAGUUUCAUUACUCUGAUGGUUCUUUUGUAUGGUAAUCCACAUUAUAUUUUUGUUGUAAUAGGAUUUUUGGACUGUUGACUUUUGAAAUAUUUUUGCUUUCAUGUCCAAUAUGGGGUCAGUUUAUUUUGAAUUCAGAAAAGAAGGAUUAUCUUCAGAGCUGAAAAAAAAAAUGAAACGAAGGCACUUUAUAUCUUAUGAUGAUUCGAAUUCUUUAUGGCUGACCUGCUAAUUGCUUUAAAUGUCUGUUAUCUGCCUUGUUAACCGACUGAUAAGCAGCAAGCAGGGAUGGGUUGGUUCAUUACAUAUCAGCAUUUAAAUAACAAACAGGUUAUAUUAUUACUGUUAAAAUCACA
Amphiprion ocellaris (clown anemonefish) is the source of this 2199-nucleotide long non-coding RNA. The record is from Ensembl. NCBI's taxonomy places the organism in Eukaryota, Metazoa, Chordata, Actinopteri, Pomacentridae.